RNAcentral lists this ribosomal RNA (252 nucleotides) under uncultured bacterium. RNAcentral's name for it is "partial 16S ribosomal RNA". It matches the Rfam family "Bacterial small subunit ribosomal RNA", at positions 524 to 775 of the family's 1533-position model. The record is from RNAcentral.
UACGAAGGGGGCUAGCGUUGCUCGGAUUGACUGGGCGUAAAGGGCGCGUAGGCGGCUUGUACAGUCAGACGUGAAAUUCCUGGGCUCAACCUGGGGGCUGCGUUUGAUACGUGCGGGCUUGAGUUCGGAAGAGGGUCGUGGAAUUCCCAGUGUAGAGGUGAAAUGCGUAGAUAUCGGGAGGAACACCUGUGGCGAAAGCGGCGCACUGGACCAUAACUGACGCUGAGGCGCGAAAGCUAGGGGAGCAAACAG